This 198-nucleotide ribosomal RNA is filed under the name Bacillus sp. ISL-40. RNAcentral describes it as "partial 23S ribosomal RNA". It matches the Rfam family "Bacterial large subunit ribosomal RNA", at positions 2728 to 2925 of the family's 2925-position model. The record is from RNAcentral. Lineage: Bacteria; Bacillati; Bacillota; Bacilli; Caryophanales; Bacillaceae.
GCCAAGGGCAUCGCUGGGUCGGUAUGUGCGGACGGGAUAAUGGCUUAAAGCAUCUAAGCAUGAAGCCCCCCUCAAGAUGAGAUUUCCCAUAGCGCAAGCUAGUAAGAACCCUGAAAGAUGAUCAGGUUGAUAGGUCAGAGGUGGAAGCGUGGUAACAUGUGGAGCUGACUGAUACUAAUCGUUCGAGGACUUAACCAA